CAGUGGGGAGACGAUGGUUAUGAUGUGUAUGGAGAUGGACAACAUCGUGGUUCCUCAUCCACGGGUGGAGGACGUGGUUAUGCCUGGCAGAGUGACGGGUCUGCUGAGAGACCGUUUCUCGGGCCUCCAGGAGGUUUUGUUGAGGGUGCUUCCGGUCCGGAUCACCGCCAGAGAGGGGGUCACCGUGGACAUCGCGGUGGUCGGGGCGGUGGACGCGGGAGGUAUCAUCGCAGACCGCCGCCGCCUUCGGCAGUUGUUGACCAAGCGGAGUCAGUACGGAAGACCGAUAACGCUACCGCGGAGCUCCCUCCCCAGGCAAUGGAGGUGGUAGCGGCUUUAGCCAAUGUUGAGGCUCCGGCGACUGGGAGUGUGACUGAGGCUACAGACAGGUCUGAGGCUGAAAGGGCGUCCAAGUGGGCGCGU
RNAcentral lists this ribosomal RNA (423 nucleotides) under Triticum aestivum (bread wheat). RNAcentral describes it as "partial small subunit ribosomal RNA". The record is from RNAcentral. Lineage: Eukaryota; Viridiplantae; Streptophyta; Magnoliopsida; Poales; Poaceae.